RNAcentral lists this ribosomal RNA (903 nucleotides) under Triticum aestivum (bread wheat). RNAcentral describes it as "partial small subunit ribosomal RNA". The record is from RNAcentral. Lineage: Eukaryota; Viridiplantae; Streptophyta; Magnoliopsida; Poales; Poaceae.
AUGGAUCCCGACUAUCUGCUCGUAUAUCUCCGCGGCCUUGUGGCAGUCACCAAGGGUGCGAUAUAUGUUGGCGCAAUCAAACUUGAGCCCCACAUCCUCCGGAUCAGCCCUCAUUGCCUUGAUAACACAGUGCCUUGCCAGAGCAGCAUCCUCCUUCUUCAGGGCCAGGUCGAUGAGCUUCUUCCACAGCGACACGUCCUUGGGCGAGACGUAGGCGGCCAGCAUCACGAAGUUGAUAGCCUUGUCGAUCUCGCCAUUCUCCUUGUAGAUGCUGCCGAGCAGGUUGUACGAGUUGGGCAGGUUGGGCGCGAUCCGCACGAUCUCGUGCAGGAUGGGGAUGGCCUCCUUGAACCUGUUCUCGGUGAAGAGCAGGGUGGCGUCGCCCAGCUUCUUGAUGACCUCGGGGCUGCACCGGUUCCUCCGCCCUCUCGCCCGCCCCUUCCUCUUGCCGUCCUUGGACCGCCGCCGCUUCUUCCGCCGGAGGCCGAACCCCUCCAUCAGCUGGUCGAAGAGGUUCGCCGACUCCGCCUCGGAGAGCUCGCCCUGCUGCCUCCGCUUCUUGGAGGGCUCGUCCCCCUGCGGCGGCUCCUCGGGGAGGGCCUUCCGCUUGCGCGACAGCGCCGCCAGGGCCUCGAAGUCGCGGAUGCUGACGGUGGCCACGGCGCCGCCGGGCCCCCGCUCCGCCAUCUCCACGCACUGCGCCGCGUCCGCCGCGUCGCCGAACUCGUACCCCUCCUCCUCAUCCUCGUCGUACUCCUCCCCGUCCCCGUCCUCCUGCUCGUACGCCCCCGCCGCCGCCGCCGCCGCCGCGCCUUCCUCCUCCGUCGCCGGCAUCUCCGAAGCACGGGCCGAGGAAAGCGGCAGAAGGAGUCGCUCCUGCCGGCGGCGAGAGCCGGGGACUAG